Molecule: unclassified non-coding RNA, 456 nt
Filed under: uncultured Mortierella
Lineage: Eukaryota; Fungi; Mortierellomycota; Mortierellomycetes; Mortierellales; Mortierellaceae
Description: sequence contains ITS2
Rfam family: 5.8S ribosomal RNA (bases 1-154)
Source: RNAcentral
AACUUUUAGCAAUGGAUCACUUGGCUCUCGCAUCGAUGAAGAACGCAGCGAAAAGCGAUACGUAAUGUGAAUUGCAGAAAUCAGUGAAUCAUCGAAUCUUUGAACGCAUAUUGCGCUCUCUGGUAUUCCGGAGAGCAUGCUUGUUUGAGUAUCAGUAAACACCUCAAAUCCCUCUACUUGUUGGAGGAGUUUGGACUUGAGCAAUCCCAACUUUUCGAAAGAGAAGGCGGGUUGCUUGAAAUGCAGGUGCAGCUAGAUUCUUUCUUCUGAGCUAUAAGCAUACUUAUUUAAUCCCGUCAAACGGAUUAUUACUUUUGCUGCAGCUAACAUAAAGGUUGAAGAGUCGCUAUGGCUGACUGAUGCAGGAUUUAACAUAUCGCGCAAGCGAUCUGUAAACUCGAUCUCAAAUCAAGCAAGACUACCCGCUGAACUUAAGCAUAUCAAUAAGCGGAGGCU